Long non-coding RNA from Salvia miltiorrhiza (redroot sage), 357 nucleotides. RefSeq lists it as uncharacterized. The transcript is spliced from 2 exons. The record is from RefSeq and is a predicted model, not a curated record. NCBI's taxonomy places the organism in Eukaryota, Viridiplantae, Streptophyta, Magnoliopsida, Lamiales, Lamiaceae.
GGUUGGCAGGGAGAGGGAUUGGCUUGCGCUUGCUGUAGAAGGUGGAGUUGGCGCUGCAGAAUCCGCUGCGCGGAUCCGUGUUUGGAUAAGUGGAGAUAGAUUUCGCCAUUAAAGAGUUGAAGAUUCGCAGGUAGUGUUGGAGCAACUGAAAAAGUGGUGGGUUUAUACUUUAUAGUGCGCAAUUAUUUGAUGCCACAAUUAUUUGUAUUUCAUAUUUCAGAUCAUUUGUGGUCUGUUUAAUGGAGUAGUAAGUAGUAGUAGUAACUAGUAAGUUGGUGGUCUUUGACGCGGGGACACGUUGUGCACGUGUUUAAUGAAAAUGUGAGACUAAGAUGUGUCAUUAUUUUAUUUUAGACA